Molecule: long non-coding RNA, 1757 nt
Organism: Oncorhynchus tshawytscha (Chinook salmon)
Lineage: Eukaryota; Metazoa; Chordata; Actinopteri; Salmoniformes; Salmonidae
Source: Ensembl
AGAAUAUGUGUGUGUAAGUGAACAGUGUGUGUUCUGGUGCAGGGGGUUCAGACUGGCAUUCAGAUGAGCAAAAUACAAUAUAUUUAAUGCUUAAUGAUGAAUUGAUUAGAGAAAAAGGGGGGGGGUGUUUAACAGUAGAGAGUGUAGUAGAUGAUAGUAGUAGAUGAUAGUAGUAGGUAAUAGUAGUAGGUAAUAGUAGUAGAUGAUAGUAGUAGAUGACAGUAGCAGGUGAUAGUAGUAGAUGAUAGAUGUAGGUGAUAGUAGUAGAUGAUAGUAGUAGGUGAUAGUAGUAGAUGCUAGUAGUAGAUGAUCGUAGUAGGUGAUAGCAGUAGAUGACAGUAGUAGGUGAUAGUAGUAGAUGAUAGUGGUAGAUGAUAGUAGCAGGUAAUAGAUGUAGGUGAUAGUAGUAGAUGCUAGAUGUAGAUGAUAGUAGUAGGUGAUAGUAGAAUGUGAUAGUAGUAGAUGAUAGUAGUAGGUGAUAGUAGUAGAUGCUAGUAGUAGAUGAUCGUAGUGGGUGAUAGAUGUAGGUGAUAGCAGUAGAUGACAGUAGUAGGUGAUAGAAGUAGCUGAUAGAUGUAGGUGAGAGUAGUAGGUGAUAGAUGUAGGUGAUAGUAGUUGGUAAAAGCAGUAGAUGAUAGUAGUAGAUGAUAGUAGAAUGUGAUAGUAGUAGAUGAUAGUAGUAGGUGAUUGUAGCAGGUGACAGAAGCAGAUGAUAGUUGUAGAUGACAGUAGUAAUUGAUAGUAGUAGGUGAUAAUAGUAUAUGAUAAUAGUAUAUGAUACUAGUAGAUGAAAGUAGUGGUUGAUAGUAGUAGGCGAUAGUUGUAGGCGAUAGUUGUAGGUAGUAGUAGUAGGUGAUAGUAGCAGAUGAUAGUUGUAGGUGAUAGUAGUAGGUAACAGUAGUAGGUGAUAGUAGUAGAUAAUAUUUGUAGAUGAAAGUAGUAGAUGACAGUGGUAAGUGAUAGUACUACAUGAUUUUAGUAGGUGAUAGUAGAUGAUAAUAGUAGGUGAUAGUUGUACAUGAACAUGGUAGGUGAUAGUAGUAGGUGAUAAUAGUAUAUGAUAGUAGUAGGUGAAAGUAGUAGUUGAUAGUAGUAGAUGAUAGUAGUAGGUGAUAGUAGUAUAUGACAGAAGUAGGUGAUAGGUGUAGGCGACAGUAGUAGGCGAUAGUUGUAGGUGAUAGUAGUAGGUGAUAGUAGUAGGUGAUAGUAGUAGGUGAUAGUAGUAGGUGAUAGCAGUAGGUGAUAGUAGUAGGUGAUAGUAGUAGAUGAUAGUAGUAGAUGAUAGUAGUAGGUGAUUGUAGUUGAUGAAUGUAGUAGAUGAUUGUAGUAGAUGAUAGUAGUAGGUGAUAGUAGUAGGUUAUAGUAGUAGAAGACACUCGCAAAUGACAGUAGUAGGUGAUAGUAGUAGAUGAUAGUAGUAGGUGAUAGAUGUCGGUGAUAGUAGUAGGUGAUAGUCGUAGAUGAAAGUUGUAGGUGAUUGUAGCAGGUGAUAGAAGCAGAUGAUAGUUGUAGGUGAUAGUAGUAUGUGAUAGUAGUAGGUGAUAGAAGUAGUGGAUAGUAGCAGAUGAUAGAAGUAGAUGAGAGUAGUAGAUGACAGUAGUAGAUGAUAGUCCUAGGUGAUAGUAGUUGGUAAAAUUAGUAGACGAUAGCAGUAGAUGAUAGUAGAAUGUGAUAGUAGUAGAUGAUAGUAGUAGGUGAUUGUAGCAGGUGAUAGAAGCAGAUGAUAGUUGUAGGUGACAGUAGUAGAUGAUAGUCCU